This 255-nucleotide long non-coding RNA is filed under the name Junco hyemalis (dark-eyed junco). Its description in RNAcentral is "lncRNA (ENSJHYG00000012725.1)". The record is from RNAcentral. Lineage: Eukaryota; Metazoa; Chordata; Aves; Passeriformes; Passerellidae.
CUCUUUCUGUCCUCUGGAAGUGAUGAAAAGAUCACAUGAUGAGUAGGCUCGGCGACCCAGGACCCUCGUAAGUCGGAGAAGGCAUCGGACACAUCUUCCCACAUACACAACCCCCAUGCUGGAUCUGCUGCACUCCAAAGCAUGUGAGUGACAACAGGCUUGGCAGCCCUUGGGGUGGUGAAAGAUCUGGCUAGAGCAAGCCUCCCCAGCAUGCUCAUCAGGUUAGUGAGGAUACUGUCAUGGAUGGCAGUGCCA